AUCGCGAGGUUUGGGGCGUGACAAUAUAGACUGUGAGCCCACGUUUAAUAAUCACGCUAAGGAGUUCAGCGAGCUAUCUGCAAAGGCCUGAUUAGUCUACCAGCUGUACAAGAAUGCGCAAGACUGUAAAGGUAUUCUUCUAGAACCUCCGAAGUGGCAGGCGGCCACGAGUUUUCACGGCGUUCAAUAAAUGCAGCGAAGCGCCCGUCUUGAAGAAGCCGUGCCUGUGUUGUCAUUUCGGAGUUACAAUUUUUAUGAUGUUGUUGCAAAGUAUGCGUCUGUAGAGCUAAAUCAUGAUGAUUGUUCCAAACUAAGAAAAUGAAACGAUGGACAGAAAAUUCAGCAGCAGCUACUAAAUCACCAAAGUGUUUCCAGUUGCCCUCCUGUGAUGGCUGCAGUUACAGCCACACAGUUGUAAAA
This is a long non-coding RNA of Oreochromis aureus, 420 nucleotides long. RefSeq lists it as uncharacterized. NCBI's taxonomy places the organism in Eukaryota, Metazoa, Chordata, Actinopteri, Cichliformes, Cichlidae. The record is from RefSeq and is a predicted model, not a curated record. The transcript has 3 exons.